Molecule: ribosomal RNA, 293 nt
Filed under: uncultured bacterium
Lineage: Bacteria
Description: partial 16S ribosomal RNA
Rfam family: Archaeal small subunit ribosomal RNA
Source: RNAcentral
GUGCCAGCCGCCGCGGUAAUACCGGCAGCCCGAGUGAUGGCCGAUCUUAUUGGGCCUAAAGCGUCCGUAGCUGGCUGCGCAAGUCCGUCGGGAAAUCCACUCGCCCAACGAGUGGGCGUCCGACGGAAACUACAAGGCUUGGGACCGGAAGACCGAAGGGGUACGUCCGGGGUAGGAGUGAAAUCCUGUAAUCCUGGACGGACCACCGGUGGCGAAAGCGCCUUCGGAAGACGGAUCCGACAGUGAGGGACGAAAGCUAGGGUCUCGAACCGGAUUAGAUACCCUGGUAGUCC